GAUGAACGCUGGCGGCGUGCCUAAUACAUGCAAGUCGAGCGAAGCGGGGACGGGUGAGUAACAUGUGGAUAACCUCCUAUAAGAUUGGGAUAACUUAGGGAAACCGGAGCCAAACCGGAGAAUUAUAGAUGGAUCAGCGCUGCAUUGGCUAGUUGGUAAGUUAACGGCUUACCAAGGCAACGAUGCAUAGCCGACCUGAGAGGAGGAGCGGCCACACUGGAACUGAGACACGGUCCAGACUCCUACGGGAGGCAGCAGUAGGUAAUCUUCCGCCAUGGGCGAAAGCCUGACGGAGCAACGCCGCGUGCGUGAUGAAGGUCUUCGGAUCGUAAAACUCUGUUAUUAGGGAAGCGGUACCUAAUCAGAAAGCCACGGCUAACUACGUGCCAGCAGCCGCGGUAAUUC
Molecule: ribosomal RNA, 405 nt
Filed under: uncultured bacterium
Lineage: Bacteria
Description: partial 16S ribosomal RNA
Rfam family: Bacterial small subunit ribosomal RNA
Source: RNAcentral